GAAAAAGGUAAAAGAAAACGAAUAAGGAAAUGAAAAUCCAAUAAGGAAAUAGAAGCUGAAUAAGGAAAUAGAAACCGAAUAAGGAAAUGAAUAUUGAAAAAGGAAAAAGAAACUGAAUAAGGAAAUAGAAACCGAAUAAGGAAAUAGAAACCGAAUAAGGAAACAGAAACCGAAAAAGGAAAAAGGAACCGAAUAAGGAAAAAGAAACCGAAUAAGGAAAUGGAAAUUGAAUAAGGAAAUGAAAAUCCAAUAAGGAAAUAGAAACCGAAUAAGGAAAUAGAAACCGAAAAAGGUAAUGAAUAUUUAAAAAGGAAAAAGAAACCAAAUAAGGAAAAAGGAACCGAAUAAGGAAAAAGAAACCGAAUAAGGAAAUGGAAAUUGAAUAAGGAAAUGAAAAUCCAAUAAGGAAAUAGAAACCGAAUAAGGAACUAGAAACUGAAAAAGGAAAUGAAUAUUGAAAAAGGAAAGAAGAAACCGAAUAGGAAAUGAAAAUCGAAUAAGGAAAUGGAAAUCGAAUAAGGAAACGAAAAUCCAAUUAGGAAAUAGAAACCGAAUAAGGAAAUAGAAACCGAAUAAGGAAACAGAAACCGAAUAAGGAAAUGAAUAUUGAAAAGGAAAAAGAAACCGAAUAAGGAAAAAGAACCGAAUAAGGAAAAAGAAACGAAUAAGGAAAUGAAAUUGAAUAAAGGAAAUGAAAAUCCAUUAAGGAAAUAGAAACCGAAUAAGGAACUAGAAACUGAAAAAGGAAAUGAAUAUUGAAAAAGGAAAAAGAAACCGAAUUAGGAAAUGAAAAUCGAAUAAGGAAAUGGAAAUCGAAUAAGCAAAUGAAAAUCCAAUAAGGAAAUAGAAACCGAAUAAGGAAAUAGAAACCGAAAAAGGAAAUGAAUAUUGAAAAAGGAAAAAGAAACCGAAUAAGGAAAUGAAAAUCGAAUUAGGAAAUGGAAAUCGAAUAAGGAAAUAGACACCGAAUAAGGAAAUGAAAAUCGAAUAUGGAAAAAGAAACCGAAUAAGGAAAUGAAUAUUGAAAAAGGAAAAAGAAACUGAAUAAGGAAAUGAAAAUCGAAUAAGGAAAUGAAAAUCCAAUAAGGAAAUAGAAACCGAAAAGGAAAUAGAAACCGAAAAGGAAGAAGAAACUGAAUAAGGAAAAGAAAAUCGAAUAAGGAAAUGGAAACCGAAUAAGGAAAUGAAAAUCGAAAAAGGAAAUAGAAACCGAAUAAGGAAAUAGAAACCAAAAAAGGAAAUGAAUAUUGAAAAAGGAAAAAGAAACCGAAUAAGGAAAAAGAAACCGAAUAAGGAAAUGGAAAUUGAAUAAGGAAAUGAAAAUCCAAUAAGGAAAUAGAAACCGAAUAAGGAACUAGAAACCGAAAAAGGAAAUGAAUAUUGAAAAAGAAAAAAGAAACCGAAUUAGGAAAUGAAAAUCGAAUAAGGAAAUGGAAAUUGAAUAAGGAAACGAAAAUCCAAUUAGGAAAUAGAAACCGAAUAAGGAAAUAGAAACCGAAAAAGGAAAUGAAUAUUGAAAAAGGAAAAAGAAACCGAAUAAUGAAAUGAAAAUUGAAUAAGGAAAUGGAAAUCGUAAAAGGAAAU
Molecule: long non-coding RNA, 1584 nt
Filed under: Mytilus galloprovincialis (Mediterranean mussel)
Lineage: Eukaryota; Metazoa; Mollusca; Bivalvia; Mytilida; Mytilidae
Source: RNAcentral